This 199-nucleotide ribosomal RNA is filed under the name uncultured bacterium. RNAcentral's name for it is "partial 16S ribosomal RNA". It matches the Rfam family "Bacterial small subunit ribosomal RNA", at positions 328 to 539 of the family's 1533-position model. The record is from RNAcentral.
ACGCUCGACACCUACGGGAGGGCAGCAGUGGGGAAUAUUGCACAAUGGGGGAAACCCUGAUGCAGCGACGCCACGUGAGUGAAGAAGUAUUUCGGUAUGUAAAGCUCUAUCAGCAGGGAAGAAGAUGACGGUACCUGAGUAAGAAGCCCCGGCUAACUACGUGCCCGCAGCCGCGGUAAUCUGAGCGGGCUGGCAAGGC